RNAcentral lists this ribosomal RNA (253 nucleotides) under uncultured bacterium. RNAcentral describes it as "partial 16S ribosomal RNA". It matches the Rfam family "Bacterial small subunit ribosomal RNA", at positions 524 to 776 of the family's 1533-position model. The record is from RNAcentral.
UACAGGGGGGGCAAGCGUUGUUCGGAAUUACUGGGCGUAAAGGGUUCGUAGGUGGCCAACUAAGUCAGACGUGAAAUCCCUCAGCUUAACUGGGGAACUGCGUCUGAUACUGGAUGGCUUGAGUGUAGGAGAGGAAUGCGGAAUUCCAGGUGUAGCGGUGAAAUGCGUAGAUAUGACAUAGAACACCGAUAGCGGAGGCAGCUUGCUACACGAUCAUUGACACUGAGGCACGAAAGCGUGGGGAGCAAACAGG